GGGUGUGUGUUAAUGAGGUUAGAGAGAAUCCAACAGAGGAAGGGAAAAGACAAGAUGUCACAUGUUUCUUGUGUUGCCAGAAUUUAACUCCUAAUAGGAGGAAUAAAAUAUGAUGAUGGACUGAAAGGCAGUUUAUGAUUGGUGUGUGCCCCAUGUGCCAACAACUGGUCCCAAGUUUUCAUCAGAUGAUCCUUCUACAAGCAUCUGGGAUUCACUGUGGUAGCUUGGGUACCACACGGACAAAUUUUUGUUCUAAGAGCACAUGUCAUUUGCUGGUAAAGUCACAUUAUGAAUAGUCACAGGACUGUUUUUAGUAUAAGAUGUCCAAUCAUGUAUUUUCUGCUACAAAACAAUCCAUAAAAAGUUUCUUUUGGAGCCCUAAGACAUUUGGUUCAAGGGACACAAGCAUUCCAAUCCACCUAUUGCCGACACUGGAUGGUCUCUGUUCUGUUGGCGUGGCUUUGGAAGAGACAAGCAUUCUGUUGCCAUUCUGGGUCACCAUCCCGUGCAGCCACACAGGAGACCAGGCGGUGGAGAAAGUACUUUUACAACCAGGGGUCAGAGUUAGGAUGUAAACUCCUGGCAGCUUGUUGCUUUACAUCUUGGUAUCCCUCAUCAUAAAUAAUUUGUUUGUAUGUUUCAGGGGAUCAAAGCAUGUUUGCUCUUUCUGACUGCAUGUAGUUUUAUUUUCUGGCCAUAAUUGAACUUAGAGUAUACAAAGUUAUCAUCUGACUUCUUCCAUUACUGACCAGUUGCUAGGUUUCAAUUUUGCAGUAAACACUUGAUCCAUUUUCUGGUUGCCUCACUCAGAUGAAUGAAUUCCCAGAAAGAGAGGUCAGGCCACCUGCCUUUUCACAGACUGUCCUUUGGAAACAAGAUCAAGGGCUGAAGACAUGGUAGCAGGGACAGUGGCAUGGAUAAAGGCAUGAAAGAGCCUCCAGGAGGAUCUUACCAUUGGGGAGCACUUAGAAUCGUCGGUCCUCCUCAGAUUUCAUAGUGUUCUGUGAGGCUGGUAUCAGGGUUUUGCGGUGAUCCUGAUCAUGGCCUUGAAUGUGUGGCUCAUGACUCAGGCUGCGCUAUGGUCUCUCCCUGGCACUUGAUGUCUGGCCAGGUACAGGAUAAGGCUGUAGAAGAAGCAAUUGAAAGUAUCAGGGUGCAGGGCUGAGGUUAGGGGAGGUUUGCCAACUCAUUUCUACGGCAAUGAAAUGUCUUCCCUUGGAAAAUCCUGCAACUAAGAUUUCCAUGCCAUACUCUGCUAGGCUUCUCAGACCAAAAUGAUUUAACUGUGGGGAUAGGAUGCUAUGAGGCUUGAGGCUUUGAUCUCUAGCUUGUGGAAACACAUUUUGGGAUGAUGUGGUUUUAGCUUAUUCUGCUUUUCCACCUUUUUUAAAGAGAAAAAAAAAAUGCCAUGUUUGUAAGAUUGAAAGAUGGUGAUAAAGAUUGUUAGUCCAUAUAAAGUCACUUAAACUGUUUUCGUAUUUUUCAGAGAUGGCUGAGUCCAUGUGUGAGUGCCUCAGUGCAGCUUUCCUUGCUAUAAACAGAGAGGCUUUAAAAUACUGGAUGAAUGCCAGCGUUGGUUAGCAUUAGCAUUGGCUCAUGUUGAAGUUCACAUUGACCUCAAAGCGAAAGUUUAUCUUUUGAGGUCACUUUGACCUUGGGGAGGUUAGCUAUUGUAAAUUUCUAGGGAGAAUACUGCUUGGUUGACUGCCUUUUCUUCUCCAUGAUGUUCGAAAGAAAAUCCCCCCAACCAGAAGGCUUACUUCCUCCGCCAAAGUGGUGGUCCAUCUGCAGAAUUGCUGGCUCUAUGAUCCCAAGAUCAACCCAUGUAGCACCCAGUCCCAGACUGGGGAUUUAUUGUGUUAGCUGUUUUACAGGUGUUGUUCCUGAGGUGCCAAGAGGGCCACGCAGCUGAACUAAAUCAAUAAGAAAUGAGGUUGAUGGUGGUGUGGAGAUGCAAUGGAUGUGAGAUGGGGGCAGGUCCUAGAAUUCCUGAUUCUUGAUUCGAAUCCACAAAUCCACGGAGAGCUGGCCAUGACAGCCUGUCCAGGUCUCCUGGUGCUGGUCUGUGAGAAUCUGAGACUGAGGACCAGUCAGGACGGUGAGGGAGACAAAGCUGGUCCUGUUCUCAAGCCACCCCUUGUCUUUCAAAAUCUUAUUAAAAUAUGAAAAAAUAAGUCCCUGUAUUUUUGUAUUGCUCUUCAUCCUGUUUGUGAUGCCAAUUGUCUCGCUGUUCACUGUGCGCACUGUUCGCUGAACCCAGGGUCGGCAAGGCCCAAGCUAAGAGGUUGGAAGGAGACUCGAGGAGCCGCAGGAACUGCAGACACGUGUUCUCUCCUGGCGGACACGGCAGCCGUAACACAGCGUCUCUGCUGGCUGCCGUAGCAGCCGUAGCAGCAGCCGCAACGUCACCAUAAUAUAGUAAUAACAUGGCCACGAUGCCACUCCAGUGUAGCCCCUACGCCACAGCAGCCAGGGCCUUGUGGUGGAGCUCUUACAGACGUGUGGAGCAAAGCGCCUCGGGACCAAGCGAGGACCUCGUGACCCGCAUGCACAGUGCGAUAAGUGCGCUCAGCUGCUGCUGCUGCUGCUGCUGCUGCUAAAUCGCUUCAGUUGUGUCCGACUUUGUGCAACCCGAUAGACGGCAGCCCACCAGGCUCUCCCGUCCCUGGGAUUCUCCAGGCAAGAACACUGGAGUGGGUUGCCAUUUCCUUCUCCAAUGCAUGAAAGUGAAAAGUAAAAGUGAAGUCGCUCAUAGCGACCCCCUGGAUGGCAGCCUACCAACUACAGAGGCAUUCACAAAACAUGGGAAUAAGAAUGGUAUCGGGGGCACGUGGGAAGACGUGGGAUUCCAGCGGAACUUUCUUGACAUUUGACCCAUCUUUGAGACAAAUGGAAAGACUGAAGGAAAUCUCAUGGACAGAGGAGCCUGGUGAGCCACAGUCCACAGGGUCACGAAGAGUGGGACAUGACUGAAGUGACGUGGAGUGCAUGCGUGCAGAGCAGUUUUGCCCAGUGCUUCAAAACUCCCCAUUCUUCAUGGCCCUGAGUCUACACUGCUGCUACUUCAAGGGGUCAAUUUAGGAAGGAAGGAAAGAAAGAAGGAAGGGGAUUCCUACAAUGUGGCUCAGCUGUUGAUCCGAUACACUCAACAUUCAGGCACCUUCGGGCUCCCAUCACUGUGGUGCUGUGAGCUUCUCAGACUCAGCACCACACAGAAUCAUCUGGGAGCUUUUAAAAGCACUAAUGUUGGGCUGCAUCCCAGACCAAUUAAAUCAAAAUCACUGUGGCUGUGACCCAGUUAUUAGUAUUUUUUAAAGCUCACCAAGUGAUUCCUAUAUGCAGCCAAGAAUUUGUGUGUGCUAAUAUGUGACAUUUUUGUAGAUUAUUUUAGGGGUACUGCAUUUUUUAUUUUGUCAAACUAUUGGUCCUUGAGGAAUUCUUUGUUUUUGUAGCCUUCUUGAUGUCUAGCCCUGUUUCUUAUCCUC
Long non-coding RNA from Bos taurus (domestic cattle), 3485 nucleotides. Lineage: Eukaryota; Metazoa; Chordata; Mammalia; Artiodactyla; Bovidae. The record is from Ensembl.